UCUUGUACUCACCGCCCGUCAACUCAAGGGAGUUGGGAAUACCCGAAGUCUGCCCAUGUGGCGGCCUACGGUAAGCUCAAUGACAGGGAGU
RNAcentral lists this ribosomal RNA (91 nucleotides) under uncultured bacterium. RNAcentral describes it as "partial 16S ribosomal RNA". The record is from RNAcentral.